This 68-nucleotide transfer RNA is filed under the name Dipodomys ordii (Ord's kangaroo rat). It matches the Rfam family "tRNA". From Rfam's summary of the family: Transfer RNA (tRNA) molecules are approximately 80 nucleotides in length. Their secondary structure includes four short double-helical elements and three loops (D, anti-codon, and T loops). Further hydrogen bonds mediate the characteristic L-shaped molecular structure. tRNAs have two regions of fundamental functional importance: the anti-codon, which is responsible for specific mRNA codon recognition, and the 3' end, to which the tRNAs corresponding amino acid is attached (by aminoacyl-tRNA synthetases). tRNAs cope with the degeneracy of the genetic code in two manners: having more than one tRNA (with a specific anti-codon) for a particular amino acid; and 'wobble' base-pairing, i.e. permitting non-standard base-pairing at the 3rd anti-codon position. Lineage: Eukaryota; Metazoa; Chordata; Mammalia; Rodentia; Heteromyidae. The record is from Rfam by way of RNAcentral.
UGAUAUGGCUUAGUGGUAGAGUGCUUGCCUCGCAUGCAUGAGGCUCUGGGUUCAAUUCCUCAGUACCA